Molecule: transfer RNA, 19 nt
Filed under: Odontites vulgaris
Lineage: Eukaryota; Viridiplantae; Streptophyta; Magnoliopsida; Lamiales; Orobanchaceae
Description: partial tRNA-Phe
Source: RNAcentral
CCAGCUGAGCUAUCCCGAC